UGGCAAAAUCUUAUGAGGAGAGAAAAAAGGAAAAGGUGACUUGAUGCGAUGCAAUGACUAACGAACGCAACUGAUGGAUGGCCAAUGCGACGAUGAUGACGCGACAAUAGUGCAAAAAUUAGAGGCACGCCAUGGCACACUGCUUAACCACCACCCACCCGACGGCGCACGGCCCCCAAAGGGUGAUUCCCACUGCCCGAGGGCAGUGCGUGGUGCCCAAGCCUACCGCGCGCGUAGGCCUACUACGCACUCAUCUGCGCACAUGCAGAGUGUGAGGUUU
RNAcentral lists this long non-coding RNA (280 nucleotides) under Carica papaya (papaya). Its description in RNAcentral is "long non-coding RNA (CPAP_LNC011905)". Lineage: Eukaryota; Viridiplantae; Streptophyta; Magnoliopsida; Brassicales; Caricaceae. The record is from RNAcentral.